This 79-nucleotide ribosomal RNA is filed under the name Gammaproteobacteria bacterium. RNAcentral's name for it is "partial 16S ribosomal RNA". It matches the Rfam family "Bacterial small subunit ribosomal RNA", at positions 1 to 74 of the family's 1533-position model. Lineage: Bacteria; Pseudomonadati; Pseudomonadota; Gammaproteobacteria. The record is from RNAcentral.
AGAUUAAACUGAAGAGUUUGAUCAUGGCUCAGAUUGAACGCUGGCGGCAGGCUUAACACAUGCAAGUCGAGCGGAAACG